Molecule: ribosomal RNA, 506 nt
Filed under: uncultured Lachnospiraceae bacterium
Lineage: Bacteria; Bacillati; Bacillota; Clostridia; Lachnospirales; Lachnospiraceae
Description: bacterial SSU rRNA
Rfam family: Bacterial small subunit ribosomal RNA
Source: RNAcentral
CGAGAGUUUGAGUCCUGGCGUCAGGAUGAACGCUGGCGGCGUGCCUAACACAUAGCAAGUCGAACGGGGCGUAUGCAGCGGAAGCUUUCGGGCGGAAGCAGCAUACAGCCUAGUGGCGGACGGGUGAGUAACGCGUGGGUAACCUGCCCUGUACAGGGGGACAACAGCUGGAAACGGCUGCUAAUACCGCAUAAGCCCGCGGUGCCGCAUGGCGCUGCGGGGAAAACUCCGGUGGUACAGGAUGGGCCCGCGUCUGAUUAGCUAGUUGCGGGGUAACGGCCUACCAAGGCAGCGAUCAGUAGCCGGCUUGAGAGAGUGGACGGCCACAUUGGGACUGAGACACGGCCCAGACUCCUACGGGAGGCAGCAGUGGGGAAUAUUGCACAAUGGGGGGGAACCCUGAUGCAGCAACGCCGCGUGGGCGAAGAAGUAUUUCGGUAUGUAAAGCCCUAUCAGCAGGGAAGAAAGUGACGGUACCUGACUAAGAAGCUCCGGCUAAAUACGUG